This 988-nucleotide ribosomal RNA is filed under the name Falciformispora senegalensis. RNAcentral describes it as "eukaryotic LSU rRNA". It matches the Rfam family "Eukaryotic large subunit ribosomal RNA", at positions 68 to 1069 of the family's 3401-position model. The record is from RNAcentral. Lineage: Eukaryota; Fungi; Ascomycota; Dothideomycetes; Pleosporales; Trematosphaeriaceae.
ACAGGGAUUGCCCUAGUAACGGCGAGUGAAGCGGCAACAGCUCAAAUUUGAAAUCUGGAUUCCUUGACUGGGUCCCGAGUUGUAAUUUGCAGAGGGUGCUUUGGCGUGGGCGGCGGUCUAAGUUCCUUGGAACAGGACGUCACAGAGGGUGAGAAUCCCGUACGUGGCUGCACUGCCCGCGCCGUGUAAAGCCCCUUCGACGAGUCGAGUUGUUUGGGAAUGCAGCUCUAAAUGGGAGGUAAAUUUCUUCUAAAGCUAAAUACUGGCCAGAGACCGAUAGCGCACAAGUAGAGUGAUCGAAAGAUGAAAAGCACUUUGGAAAGAGAGUCAAACAGCACGUGAAAUUGUUGAAAGGGAAGCGCUUGCAGCCAGACUUGCCUGCGGUUGCUCAGCCGGGCCUCGUGCCCGGUGCACUCUUCCGCGGGCAGGCCAGCAUCAAUUUGGGCGGCUGGAGAAUGGCCUCUGUCACGUACUACCCUUCGGGGUAGCCUUAUAGGGGAGUCGUCAUGCAGUCAGCCUGGAUUGAGGACCGCGCUUCGGCGAGGAUGCUGGCGUAAUGGCCGCAAGCGGCCCGUCUUGAAACACGGACCAAGGAGUCUAACAUCUAUGCGAGUGUUUGGGUGUCAAGCCCGGGCGCGCAAUGAAAGUGAACGGAGGUGGGAACCCCCUUGGGGCGCACCAUCGACCGAUCCUGAUGUCUUCGGAUGGAUUUGAGUAAGAGCAUAGCUGUUGGGACCCGAAAGAUGGUGAACUAUGCUUGAAUAGGGUGAAGCCAGAGGAAACUCUGGUGGAAGCUCGCAGCGGUUCUGACGUGCAAAUCGAUCGUCAAAUUUGGGCAUAGGGGCGAAAGACUAAUCGAACUAUCUAGUAGCUGGUUCCUGCCGAAGUUUCCCUCAGGAUAGCAGUAACGUAUUCAGUUUUAUGAGGUAAAGCGAAUGAUUAGAGGCCUGGGGGUUGAAACAACCUUCACCUAUUCUCAAACUUUAAA